UACGGAGGGUGCAAGCGUUAUCCGGAUUCACUGGGUUUAAAGGGUGCGUAGGUGGGUUGGUAAGUCAGUGGUGAAAUCUCCGGGCUUAACUCGGAAACUGCCGUUGAUACUAUCAAUCUUGAAUAUCGCGUAGGUGAGCGGAAUAUGUCAUGUAGCGGUGAAAUGCUUAGAUAUGACAUAGAACACCAAUUGCGAAGGCAGCUUACUUCACGAUCAUUGACACUGAGGCACGAAAGCGUGGGGAGCAAACAGG
Molecule: ribosomal RNA, 253 nt
Filed under: uncultured bacterium
Lineage: Bacteria
Description: partial 16S ribosomal RNA
Rfam family: Bacterial small subunit ribosomal RNA
Source: RNAcentral